GACGAACGCUGGCGGCGUGCUUAACACAUGCAAGUCGAACGGAAAGGCCCUGCGCUUGUGGGGUGCUCGAUUGGCGAACGCGUGAGUAAAACGUGAGUAACCCGCCCUUGACUUUGGGAUAACAUCAGGAAACUGGGGCUAAUAUCGCAUAGGAGCUCCUGCUGCACGGGGGGGGUUGGAAAGUGUCGGCGGUUGGGGAUGGACUGGCGGGUUAUCAGCUGGUUGGUGGGGUAGUGGAUUACCAAGGCUUUGACGGAUAGCCGGCCUGGGAGGGUGACCAGGGACAAGAGGCCUACGGGACGCCGCAGAAGCGAACGGGAGGCAGCGGGGGGAAGCAUUGCGCAAUGGCCCGAAGCGUGUUGCAACAACGCCGCGUGCGGAAAAACGGCUUUCGGGUUGUAAACAGCUUUCGCAUUUAACGAAGCGUGAGUGACGGUACUGGAUCAGAAAGCACCGGCUAACUACGUG
Molecule: ribosomal RNA, 468 nt
Filed under: uncultured bacterium
Lineage: Bacteria
Description: partial 16S ribosomal RNA
Rfam family: Bacterial small subunit ribosomal RNA
Source: RNAcentral